CUCAGUGUCAAUUAUAUUAUUAUAGCAUUUAAUAUAUUUAUAAUAAUUAUGAACAACAGUUUCACCUAGAGCAUAAAAUCUGCUUCAGAUGAGUGGCCCUUUUUCUCUCUGGUCAGUAUAGCAGAAAGGUACAAUUAAAUAAGUUAUGAGUAAUCCUUAAAUCAUUUUGCAUGGAUAAUGACACCCUAGUCCCGUCUUGUAUCCUCGCUCUAACCAUUAACAUUGUAGCACUAUAACAUGCUGCGUGGAAAGUGGACAGUGCAGGGAUAUGACAUGUGAAAGGUGCAGGAUGCAGUGUGCUGUUUAAAUAAUAUCAUGUAGGAGAACUUGGCAGUCAUUUGUGAAGUUUUAAAGGUUCAUACUUUUUUUGAAAAGGUUUGUGGGCUGGUCUCCAUGACAAAGCAACACCUACACAAUGAUAAAAAAAAAUAAUUGUUAGUUGUGUUCUGUUUUACUCAGGACUACUUAAACACCAUGUUAUGUGUAUGGAUUAAUCCUCUGUUCAUCUUUUUUUAAUCUUUACUAUGUCAACAUUCCUUCAUGAUUCAUCCUUCAGUGCUGAUAUACGUUUUCUUUGUUUUAUUUGAGUCUUUUGCAAACCGUGUUGAUAAAGUGGGGUUCAUGGUUUACACUUAUAGAAAGAGAGGAUUUGCAACAUAACAUAGAGAGAGAACAGAGUAAGAGCAUUUUUAAUCAUCGCCUGAAUGAUGAUGGUAAUUUGUGUGUGUGCGCGUGGAUGAUGGAGGUUAUUACAGGCACCUUAUUAGCAGUGCAUGCAUGUGUGUUUGGUUUAAUUGCUCUAAUCAUAAUAACCGUAUGUAACUUAAUGUGAGAGCCAUUUAGCGUACGAGUCUGUGUCUAUGCCUGUGGCAUUUCCUCACUUCGCUGUGACUUUAUUGUGACCUCAUAUCAGCUUUUCCACUGAGAAAUAACAAAUGCAUGCAGACACACAACCACACCUGCUGAGAGAAUCACAAAACACAGUGCAGUGGCCAUGUAAUGGGAAACAGAUUGUCUAAUUGCUAAUUACUAUCAUAGAACAGGACACACACAUUGCACAGGUAUGCUCUGCACAGUAACCUGUUGGCUGUUGGUUAUCAUCAACAUCAGGCUACCUGUGAAUACAUUUACCAGAGUUAACCUUCCACCACACAAGCUUACAGCUUACAGCUGUUUGUUCAUCCAUCAUUUGUGAAAAUUUACCAACUUACCACUUUGUGUAUAAUUAUUCUUCCCUUGAUCAAAAAACAUAUUUAAACACAGCAAGAUUCACGAAAUGUGUGCAAAGUGUACAACGGCAAAUUUGCAUAAUCAGAAUCAUUCAGCCACCUUGUUUUCUGUUCCUGCAGUCUUCAUACAUCCUCAGCCGUAUUUCAGUUUAUAAAGCUGCAUGUUUGCCUCGAGGAAAAGUGGAGAAAGUGAUGAGGAUGCUGCCUGAGCCACUAGGGCAGGGGUGGGCAACUCCAGGCCUCGAGGGCCGGUGUCCCUGCAGGUUUUAGAUGUGUCCUUGAACCAACACAGCUGAUUUAAAUGGCUAAAUUAGCUCCUGCAGUUCUCCAGAAGCCUGGUAACAAACUAAUCAUGUGAUUCAGGUAUGUUGACCCAAGGUGAGAUCUAAAACCUGCAGGACACCGGCCCUCGAGGCCUUGAAUUGCCCACCCCUGCCCUAGGGAGAAAAAGUGGGAGAAAGUGAGACUGAAGAAAGUAAAACAAGAGUAUCUGAGGAGAGAGCGAGAAAAGGCACUCCUUUCCAAAGUGUUUCCUGGGGCGUGAUGAUAAUAGUUCAAAAAAAAGAAAAGAAAAAACAAGACUCACAAGCUGAUAGAAACUAUGCUGAAUAUCAAGACACUCACUGUCACUUAAGUAGAAACAGAAAAGUUUUGACUUCAACAUCAACGUUUCAGAUUCUUCAGCAUCACUGGGACAGUCAACAAAGUUAGACUGUAAGUGGUGAAAUCCAGUUUAAUAAUUGAUAAAACAAUAGUUUAAUAAUUAGAAUAGGUUAAAACAAAACCUUUCAAGUUAGCAUUUUGUGCUCAUCGCAUCUAAUGUCAUAUUUCGGAGUUACAGGGUUUGCUUAAUCCUAAUUAUAACCAAUUUGUAUUUAUGGUGUAUGCUGUAACUGUAAAUCAUGACCAAAAGUAUAUAAUAAUAAUCAUCAUUUUUUAACAAUAUUAUUAUUAUUGUUUUUAUAGAGUAUAGACAAACAGAGUAUGAACAAUUUCAGGAAGGAAAAUAUUGCUGAGUCUCAGAUUUUGUAACCACAGCUUGCAUAUAGAUUGUGUGUGUCUGGUGUUUGUGAAUGAGGCUCAGUGUCUCAGUGGGCAGUGUUCAUGCAGUUUGUAUCUUGAAUGUAACACAACAAAGGAGAGAUAAAUAAGUAAUAUGUACCGAACACAUAUUUCUAUUUAAGAGUGUAUUUUUACAAAUCAAUAUAGAUACAAAUAUGUUGACAUUGUCCUUUCCAGUAAGUCCUGUUUCUUCUUUGGUGCAGCUUUAAUGACAAGUUAAGUUUAGAGAUGCCAAAAAGUAACAAACACAAAAGCCUCUGCUCCACAGAGGAUGCCCUUAAGAAUUCAGACAAUCUUAAAAUCCUGCAGUGCAGCCCCCAUGCAAAGAUGGGAAAACACUUCGCUUUGUCCAUUAGAUAAGUCACCGUGGGAUAUACAGAGUGCCAAAAACAGAAAUUUAACUAAUAAAUUAAAAAAGAAAAAAAAAUCAGAAUACAGUCACUAUCUCGGGGGACAGUGAUUAAUGAUUUGUGUUACUGCUCAGCCUUUCCACCCUUAAGGCCCAGCUUUCAAGUUUACUGUAAAAACUGGAAAAAAUGUUUUAAUGCGAUACAUUCUUGCCUCAAAUGACCAGCAGUGGAACACAGUCUGGUUUAUAUUAUUGACAUCAAUAAUCGCUUCACCAUAUCAAAAUGUUCUGAAGCAAUUUUGUUAAAGUGUUGCCUUAUUUGAUUCUUUCCUUUCAUAUCUUUCAUAAACGCAGAUCGUAAUAAAUGCUUUAAGCACAUUUAUUGUGUCAGCAGAUGAGAAUGAUUCAAUAAGUGGUUUGUUUUCAAAGUGAAGACGUCUGAUUCUGAGCUUUUUGUGUAACAUCAUUAUUUUUUUACCACCAUCUUACAUCAGUCACACAUUGUCAGAUUUGUUCUUUGAUCUGAAUUUAAUUUUUUUCUUUGUAGAGAAACUGAACCGAGAAACUUGACGGGCAUGUUUCUGUAACAAAGACCCCCAGAAGAAAUAAUAUAGCCUAUAGCAUAUUUAGUAGCACUUGUCUGGGCUUGUUCCAGAUUCUGGAUUCAGUCCUGCAGUGACUGCGGAGAUUAUACUUCAUUUCUGGACCUCUAAAAUAUUAGCAAUUCAGGAAGUACUUCCAAAAGUUAGGGUGUACAAAUUCUAACCUCUAGAUAGGCUGUUUGUUUUCCCCCCAUUACUUAGGAAAGUUCCUUCCCCUAACAUUUGCUGUGUCUCUCAUUCAUAAUGAGCUGUCACAACUCCAAGUUGAAUAAGUCUAUUCAAAUGUAUUCAUAUACUGGCUACUUUGAUAACUGGAUGACAAUAUGCACAGUGAAAGUCUAAAUAGUGUUGAAAACCCAGUUUUAGGCAAGCGUUUGUCCUGGAGACACAAAACCAGGAGCAAAACAUGUUAAGUCGACUUGUUUACUGUUGAGUAUCCGGGCGGGCUGUAUGUUGUCGUUUUUUUGUGUCUGAUAUAAUUAGUGUAGAUAAAGAGGACAUAUAUUAUGCUCUUCUGAUCAUCAUAUUUCUUCUGUACAUUUCUCUUACUGCUCUUCACAUAAACCCAAUAUUCCCCGUCAGCUCAUUAUCACCGAUAUAUAUCGACAAAAUAACAGAGUCAGAGUCUACACUAAGGACGCCUUUUAUCCACGUGGCGGUUGCUGUUAGCCUACUGAUAUGUGAAGCGACAGAUCAGAGGGGGGACCAUGACACUGGUUGACAUGCAUGGCGACAGAUGAAAUUCACACAAUGAGCUGAAAUGUGAAUAUCAUCUGUCUUCGCCGCGCUGCGCCCGCUCACAUUUAUUCGAAUCCACAGGCCCACAUCGGCAGCAGUUGCUAUUUCGAGCUGCCCCGUGUUCAUUUUUGUUCCUGUUUGCUGUGUUUGCUUUAUUUUGCCUACUUUGAUCUAUUUCUAGUGUGAUUUUUACAGCAGUUUGGUUGCCUGUUCGAGAGACGAUGUGUAAACUAAACGAAGAUGGCAAACAAACAAGAUCUGUGAAUUUUGUACAAACUGUAGGAACAAAUGACUGUUUUUCUACUGAGCCUGUUAUCUCUAUAUGUUUCUUUGGUGGUGUUGGGGGGAGUGAGGCUCUAUAUGGAGCUCGGGUGGACAGGGUGGGACCGGGAUAUUUCUGUAAACGGUCGGGGACUGUGCAAUGGCUACUUGUAAUUAUUCAGAGUAUAAAGGUGGAAAAAAUGUCCGUUAUGACAAAUGAAAUAAAGUGUUAUAUUUGCAUGAUUUCCUGUAUUUUCAUCAAGCUAAUAUUUAUGGUUGUGUAUACUGAAUGGAUGUAUUAUUAACUUAAUAAUUGUUUAAUUAUGAAAAUGAAAAAAACAAAACAAAAACAAAACCUGUCACUUUCUUCUGUGAAUUGAAAUAUAUGGUUUCUUAGCUCUUUUAUGACUAACUUAGCUGUUGCUGAUGUUUCUUGUCGUUUGCACUACUCUUUACUGUCACUGAUUUGCAAUCUGUUUCCAUCAACAAGCGCAACAUCUUUGAUAAUCUAAAAUCGUGCAGCACUCUCGCACAGUUUAUUAUUUUUUCCUCAGAGGCACUGCAAAAAAAAACAAAAAACGGAUCCUCUGAGCUUUCAAAUUCCACCCUAACAAAUCCCACUUUGAAACCUUUUCCCCUGACAGACAGAUUUACAUUUGUGAAUCAAAGCUUCAAAAGCCACCUCCUCACAGAAACACUCAGAACACAUUACACCAGACCUUUCCUCUAAAGAAAAAAAAAAAUGGUUGCCACGGGGGAGGAGUCAACAACAUUCAGAUACUGCAUCCUACGUUUGACGGAGUUAUACAAAUUAGUCUGACAGGCUGACAAUUUUUGUUGUGUUUAAAGUCUUAAAAUGCAAACAUGCCAGGGGAAGGUGAAAGAAAAGUCAGAACAAGUGAUUUUUCAUAUAAAGGAAGAAGGUCCCCCGAGGCUUGGCUUUAGUGUCUGUAAACAUGCUUUUCCCCCCCAGUGGCUUUUCUG
Molecule: long non-coding RNA, 5225 nt
Organism: Astatotilapia calliptera (eastern happy)
Lineage: Eukaryota; Metazoa; Chordata; Actinopteri; Cichliformes; Cichlidae
Source: Ensembl